RNAcentral lists this ribosomal RNA (769 nucleotides) under uncultured Actinomycetes bacterium. Its description in RNAcentral is "bacterial SSU rRNA". It matches the Rfam family "Bacterial small subunit ribosomal RNA", at positions 8 to 795 of the family's 1533-position model. Lineage: Bacteria; Bacillati; Actinomycetota; Actinomycetes. The record is from RNAcentral.
AGAGUUUGAUUCUGGCUCAGGAUGAACGCUGGCGGCGUGCUUAACACAUGCAAGUCGAACGAGGUCCAACCUUCGGGUGAAGACCGAGUGGCGAACGGGUGAGUAACACGUGGGGAACCUGCCCUUCUCUCUGGGAUAACCUCGGGAAACCGAAGCUAAUACCGGAUACUCCUUGCGGACCGCAUGGUCUGCUCGGGAAAGCUCCGGCGGAGAAGGAUGGCCCCGCGGCCCAUUAGCUUGUUGGUGGGGUAACGGCCCACCAAGGCGACGAUGGGUAGCCGAGCUGAGAGGCUGAUCGGCCACACUGGGACUGAGACACGGCCCAGACUCCUACGGGAGGCAGCAGUGGGGAAUCUUGCGCAAUGGGCGAAAGCCUGACGCAGCAACGCCGCGUGCGGGAUGAAGGCUCUCGGGUCGUAAACCGCUUUCAGCAGGGAUGAAAAUGACAGUACCUGCAGAAGAAGCCCCGGCUAAAUACGUGCCAGCAGCCGCGGUAAUACGUAUGGGGCAAGCGUUAUCCGGAUUCAUUGGGCGUAAAGCGCGCGUAGGCGGCUUGUUAAGUCAGGCGUGAAAUCCGGGGGCUCAACCCGCGGCUUGCGUCUGAAACUGGCAGGCUUGAGUCUGGUAGAGGAAAGUGGAAUUCCUGGUGUAGCGGUGAAAUGCGCAGAUAUCAGGAGGAACACCAGUGGCGAAAGCGGCUUUCUGGGCCACGACUGACGCUGAGGCGCGAAAGCUAGGGGAGCGAACAGGAUUAGAUACCCUGGUAGUC